Molecule: ribosomal RNA, 497 nt
Filed under: uncultured bacterium
Lineage: Bacteria
Description: partial 16S ribosomal RNA
Rfam family: Bacterial small subunit ribosomal RNA
Source: RNAcentral
GAUGAACGCUGGCGGCGUGCCUAAUACAUGCAAGUCGAGCGAACAGAUAAGGAGCUUGCUCCUUUGACGUUAGCGGCGGACGGGUGAGUAACACGUGGGUAACCUACCUAUAAGACUGGGAUAACUUCGGGAAACCGGAGCUAAUACCGGAUAACAUUUGGAACCGCAUGGUUCUAAAGUGAAAGAUGGUUUUGCUAUCACUUAUAGAUGGACCCGCGCCGUAUUAGCUAGUUGGUAAGGUAACGGCUUACCAAGGCGACGAUACGUAGCCGACCUGAGAGGGUGCUCGGCCACACUGGAACUGAGACACGGUCCAGACUCCUACGGGAGGCAGCAGUAGGGAAUCUUCCGCAAUGGGCGAAAGCCUGACGGAGCAACGCCGCGUGAGUGAUGAAGGGUUUCGGCUCGUAAAACUCUGUUAUUAGGGAAGAACAAAUGUGUAAGUAACUGUGCACGUCUUGACGGUACCUAAUCAGAAAGCCACGGCUAACUACGUG